CACGGAGCGUUUUGGCUUUAACUUGUUGAUUUGUAAUGCCUGUUAGGUUAGCUCUCGUCAAUGGUGAUUGAGUCUGGGACUAGGUUAACUUGAGGGUCUCUGUUGCGGUGGCACUUAGAUUUGGUUAAUAAACUUGUUGUCUAGGGAUAAUUUAUUGAGCAUGUCAAUCACCUGUAAACUGAGGAAACGAAACUACUCAAUUACCCCAUCCUCGGGAAUUCUUUAUCUGAUUUAUUUUAUUGUUUAGUCUACUGUUGUUUACUGCAUCUUGUCCUUUGUUGCUUAGUUUCUGCAAAUUCUUUCCUGUUACUCGACCUGAUACUCGACCACCCAGUUGUCUGGCAAGAGACUGUGCAGUCGAGUGUCUUUGUUUUGUUUUCUUUCUGUUACUCGACCACACCCAGUGCUCUACAACGAGCUGUGUUGGUCAAGUGCUUUUACUAUUCUGCUUGAAUUUCUGUUUUCUGCAUGUUCACUUAGGACUGCUAGAACACACCAAACCUGUUAUUGCUUGGCUUGACUUAGUGACUUCUGAUCACAUUUUGAUUGUUAGCAUCACACCCAUUUUGAUUGACAACCUUCAGUACUACAACGACAUGAUAGUGCUUUAGGAUUAAUUGAUCUUA
RNAcentral lists this small RNA (626 nucleotides) under Arabidopsis thaliana (thale cress). RNAcentral describes it as "ATSL207630". The record is from RNAcentral. Lineage: Eukaryota; Viridiplantae; Streptophyta; Magnoliopsida; Brassicales; Brassicaceae.